This 375-nucleotide ribosomal RNA is filed under the name uncultured Nitrospirota bacterium. RNAcentral describes it as "bacterial SSU rRNA". It matches the Rfam family "Bacterial small subunit ribosomal RNA", at positions 521 to 896 of the family's 1533-position model. The record is from RNAcentral. Lineage: Bacteria; Pseudomonadati; Nitrospirota.
UAAGACAGAGGUGGCGAGCGUUGUUCGGAAUUACUGGGCUUAAAGAGCGCGUAGGUGUCCUGACAAGUCAGAUGUGGAAUCUUUUCGCUUAACGAAAAAAUUGCAUUUGAAACUGUCAGGAUUGAGUCAGACAGGGGAUGGCGGAAUUCCUGGUGUAGCGGUGAAAUGCGUAGAUAUCAGGAGGAAGGCCGGUGGCGAGGGCGGCCAUCUGGGUCUGUACUGACACUGAGGCGCGAAAGCGUGGGGAGCAAACAGGAUUAGAUACCCUGGUAGUCCACGCCCUAAACGGUGGGUACUAGGUGUAGGGUCCGCAGGGGUUCUGUGCCGAAGGGAAACCAUUAAGUACCCCGCCUGGGGAGUACGGCCGCAAGGUUG